AUUUACAAGUUUGUUUUGUUUAACAAGCUCAUUUAUUGACUCCUUUGUUUUUCAUUCUCUAGGAUUAAAGCACGGCUCUGGUUCACAUCCAGGAGGAAGGUUAGUCCAACGCCUGCAUGAAACCGUCUCUGCAGCAGGGGCCAGCAGGAAACUGGAAAAAAGGUUCAGUCAGCCAUUUGGUGACAUACUGUGUUGACAGAAAACUGAAAAUUUACUGGAAAUAAACCCCUCCAGUUUUACGUAGGCAUAUGAUUGCUUUGAUACAAUACAAGAGAGUUUGGCCCAACCUCAGUGCACUGGAAACGGUGGGAGGUCCCAAACUUAAGAGCAGCCCGUUGUCAGAUCUACAUCAAAGCCAGCAACCUGGGCGGCUGCCCUGGAGCUCCGGGUCUCCAGCGAAGGUAAGUGCUGGAGCUCCUCAGUCCCUCCGAGUUUCUACAUCAGACCGAUGAUGUGCUUUGCUGGGGAACAGCUGCGGGCACCGGUUCCUUAAAAUCGAGAAUAUUUUGGGCUUUGGUUUGAUAGUAGUCCAAAUCAGACCAUACAU
Molecule: long non-coding RNA, 547 nt
Filed under: Anser brachyrhynchus (Pink-footed goose)
Lineage: Eukaryota; Metazoa; Chordata; Aves; Anseriformes; Anatidae
Description: lncRNA (ENSABRG00000018615.1)
Source: RNAcentral